AUUUGAUUGCUGGAGAUGUAGAGGCUCUUGUGAGGCUGGUCGUCACACAGGAAACUGUAUGCAGAGUCCAUCAGCCCAUGCUCUUCAUCACGAACUCAGUUGCUCUUUAAGACCAUCUCCCAGAGAUGAGGAAGAUGCGUUGAUCCAAACGAGACGCAGCCAAGCUUGGAGCAUCCUCUCUGCUCCAUCCCAAGGUUAUUUUUCAACACCCACAAGCAAAUGGGGACAGCGACUGCAAAUUUCAACACGCGGCCGUUGCUAUUUAAUUAAAAUCACUGAGGCUGGCUGAAGACUUUUCAGCAGAGUGAUUUCACAUCAGAGAACACCGGUUCUCAAAAUCUGAACAUUCUUUUCAUAGAAAUCCAUCCCUCCAUUUCAACCAGGAAUGAGAUUUCAGUUCUAGGAAAGGACUUCUCAUCCCAGCUAGGAACGGCAAACCAUCACUCCCCUUUUGCGGCGGGGCUGCCCAACCGUGGCAGCCAGAGCAUCUCUUUCCACCCCUCUCUGUAUUUCCAGCUGUAAUCGUUCCAUGUCUGUCUGCAUUAACUAUUUGCACAGCUCAGGACAGGAGCUCUUGUCCGAGGAGUGGGGAAUCACCAAGGCUGUGAUUCUCUCUGUUUCAUUAAAGGUAACGCCUGCAGGGUGGUUGAACCUUCCUCUCGUUCCUUGCGACCGGGGAAUGGAAACAAUAUCUCACACUAUUUGUGCAGUGAUUCCUGGCUUGUUAAUAUUCUGGUGUGGCUGUUUUUCUCUGCUGUGAGGAACUUUGCCCACUUAGCAUGGGGUUUUGCCUCUGUCUAAGUGGGAAUGCUGCUUUUCCUUUUCCCUUCUUCCAUUUGGAAAGCUGUUUUCCUGCCAUUGCUAGUCCUUUCUGUGUAAUAUUACCGCAGAGAGAAUGAAAAGUAACUGCUUUCCUUCCCAUCCAAUCGUACCUACGUAGUCUUAAGUAUAUUAUAUGCUUCGCUUCCUGCUUCACCCACUAGUAAAAUAUGUUGAUAGAUGAAUAUGGGGGUAAGAUUGCUUUAAUUAGAACCUAUUGCCCUGCACACUAUCUUCUCUAAAGACUACCUGUAUUAACAUCUGGGGAAAAUAAGUCUUAAAGAAAAUUUCCUAGGACAGAUUUUUGGACUUCACCCCCCACCUUCUGCUUCCCAACCCUUUCAAUUUCUCAAGUAUAUUUAAAAAUGCAUGACUCACCCUGUUGCUUCCUUAUAUUUUAUGGUGAGGUGGUGAGGGGGAGUCUCUUCAUUUUCAUUCCUGGGAUUACCUUUAAUGAAGUGGAAAACAUCUACGGGAUGGGAUAAUACCUGAUGCUUACAGUUUUCUUUACAUCACAUUACAGUAUUUUCUCAGGUAUUAAAGUAGCACUGGACUCAACUAAGAGGAGUGAUCAAACUGUCUACUAAUGAAGUUACUCUGACAGGAACUCCAGGAACCGGAAACUGAACUUCAGAAUCAUGAAGAGCACUGCUAGAUGAAGACAUGGGCUGGAUACAUGUCUACCACACUAGAAGAAACUGAAAGAAUACGAUCCCAUUUGACUCCAAAAGUCUUUCUAGGCUAAUUACCAGCUCACAGAGCAGAGAAAUUAAGGCAGAGAGGGAAUGUUCAUGAUGACAACCUUUACCCAUUAGCAAGCUUUGCAUUUUCCCAAGGCUGAAGACAGUUUAGCCCUGACAAAUCCAAUCAGUGAUAUGCAGGCGUAACCUCCAGAAAUAAGCUCACAUUUUUGGGAUCCACGGGGCAAAAGAUGGACUGCAGUAAGUCACUAUGAAAAUAUUUAAAAUACAGCUUGGCCAGUGCUGAAAUGGCACAGUUGGCCUGAAGUCGCUUCAAGGUCUCCUGGCAUCUGCGUGUUUCCCCAGUGGCUUUGUGCAGUAAAGUGUUAACUUCUCCUGAGUGGUUACGUGUUUAAGGCAGUAACUUUAAAAUAAAGAACUGCAACCUUAGAGCAAAGCUGCUAUUUUGAGAAUUUUAAACCAUUAUUGACUCCUGUCAGAUCAGUUUCUAGACUUAUUGACUCAAGAAGUAAAUAUAGACUGAGAGAAAGCGAGGUCAAGUCAAUAUUUAUCUUGCAGAUCAAUACAUUUUGAUACUAACCAAAAAUUAAGCUCAAUAAAUGCAUAUAUUAUACACAGCAAGGUUAGAAGAGAUCCAUUCAGAAAAUUUGUCAAUUUGAAAUUUCCCAACGGAAUCCAACCUUUUGGAUUCAAUUUCCAUUAGAAAUUCUGUCCCUUUAAGGUUGCUUCAGUGACUGAUCACGAGCCCCCAUCACCCAAUCAGGUUUCCAGAUGAACGUUGAGUAGCAGCGAAAGGAAAAGGGAAGAAUGAUGAAGUGAGAAGAAGUUGGUCACAGGAGCUCGAUUACGGUGUUAGGAGGAGGUAGGUGAGUAAUGGCAGUGUGCAGAAGUGCCAAAAGCAGCAGGAUGGGGACCAAAGCAAAUGUGUAACGUGAUAUAAGUAAUGCAAUAUUGCAAUGCAAACAUGAAGAAAGGAUGGAAGAAUGUGCAGGUGAACUUGUGGGAAGACUGGGUACUAGCUAAUAAAAAGAGGGGUCAGCAAUUAUAACAUUGCAACAAAUGGGAUGCAGUGGGAAAGAUUAUUUUGGAUGUUGGUUUGCAGCUGUUCCCAAAACAUCCUGGGAGCAUAUAAUAUCAGCAUUCUUGUAGCUAGAAGUUAGCUUGCUGUUUUCAUGUGUCACCAUACUGCUUGUUUUGAUGGGCACCUAUCAUGUCUAAAAACUGCCCCAACCAUGGCUUAGCCACCAAGAGCUAGCUGCUCUUCUAGAGCUUGGCAGCACUAUGGAUGGGCUCAGGCCUCUGCUAAGGGCAUCACCUGGCACCCUCGGGAUGUUGCAGCUCGGCUACAAGGGAUUAGGCCAGUUUUGAAUGUGUAAUGGCAGGACAGAGCAUAAGUGAGGACAGAGAAGGGGAUGUUCUCCACAGGAGAACUGAAAAGCUGGGAACAUCCAUCACUGCAUGAUGAGGGCUGCCGGUGGUGAGCACUUGUCUUCCAUGUGUCCCCUUGUCCCCAUACCUGCAAGCCGCAUCUGCCCUGUGCUGCAGGACCCCAAGGACAGAUUAGGGUGGCAGAGGAGCAGGCUCUGCAGUACCCAGCCUCCUGUCCUGGGCCAGCUGCAGCCUGUCCAUGCUCCAGCCUGUGAUGCUGUCCCUCUUUUGAGGACACUUUCCUGAACAUCUUUUAAGCUAUGAAUCUACCCUUUGGGGAA
RNAcentral lists this long non-coding RNA (3229 nucleotides) under Gallus gallus (chicken). Lineage: Eukaryota; Metazoa; Chordata; Aves; Galliformes; Phasianidae. The record is from RNAcentral.